UCAGGAGAUGAUGAAGAAUUAACUGCUUUUAUUCUGAACGGGCUAGAUGAUGAAUAUGAUCCUGUUGUAUCAGCUCUAGCUGCUAGGGUUGAACCUCUUACUCUUUCAGAUGCAUAUGCACAAUUGUUAAGCUUUGAAA
This 139-nucleotide small nucleolar RNA is filed under the name Leersia perrieri. RNAcentral describes it as "Small nucleolar RNA Z247". It matches the Rfam family "Small nucleolar RNA Z247". From Rfam's summary of the family: Z247 is a member of the C/D class of snoRNA which contain the C (UGAUGA) and D (CUGA) box motifs. Most of the members of the box C/D family function in directing site-specific 2'-O-methylation of substrate RNAs. Lineage: Eukaryota; Viridiplantae; Streptophyta; Magnoliopsida; Poales; Poaceae. The record is from Rfam by way of RNAcentral.